UAAUACGUAGGGUGCGAGCGUUAAUCGGAAUUACUGGGCGUAAAGCGUGCGCAGGCGGUCUGUUAAGACAGAUGUGAAAUCCCCGGGCUUAACCUGGGAACUGCAUUUGUGACUGGCAGGCUAGAGUAUGGCAGAGGGGGGUAGAAUUCCACGUGUAGCAGUGAAAUGCGUAGAGAUGUGGAGGAAUACCGAUGGCGAAGGCAGCCCCCUGGGCCAAUACUGACGCUCAUGCACGAAAGCGUGGGGAGCAAACAGGAUUAGAUACCCUGGUAGUCCACGCCCUAAACGAUGUCAACUAGUUGUUGGGGAUUCAUUUCCUUAGUAACGUAGCUAACGCGUGAAGUUGACCGCCUGGGGAGUACGGUCGCAAGAUUA
This 375-nucleotide ribosomal RNA is filed under the name uncultured bacterium. RNAcentral describes it as "bacterial SSU rRNA". It matches the Rfam family "Bacterial small subunit ribosomal RNA", at positions 521 to 896 of the family's 1533-position model. The record is from RNAcentral.